Molecule: non-coding RNA, 25 nt
Filed under: Drosophila erecta
Lineage: Eukaryota; Metazoa; Arthropoda; Insecta; Diptera; Drosophilidae
Also listed under: 1 other name
Source: RNAcentral
GAAACCAUCAGACGCCUCCAGAGGA